CACGCCGUAAACGAUGAGUGCUAGGUGUCGGGGGUCAAACCUCGGUGCCGGAGCUAACGCAUUAAGCACUCCGCCUGGGGAGUACGUACGCAAGUAUGAAACUCAAAGGAAUUGACGGGGACCCGCACAAGCAGCGGAGCAUGUGGUUUAAUUCGAAGCAACGCGAAGAACCUUACCAGGACUUGACAUGGUAUUGACCGGUAUAGAGAUAUACCUUUCCCUUCGGGGACAAUACACACAGGUGG
This 245-nucleotide ribosomal RNA is filed under the name uncultured Peptoniphilus sp. Its description in RNAcentral is "partial 16S ribosomal RNA". It matches the Rfam family "Bacterial small subunit ribosomal RNA", at positions 796 to 1041 of the family's 1533-position model. Lineage: Bacteria; Bacillati; Bacillota; Tissierellia; Tissierellales; Peptoniphilaceae. The record is from RNAcentral.